GACGAACGCUGGCGGCGUGCUUAACACAUGCAAGUCGAACGCUGAAGCUUGGUGCUUGCACUGGGUGGAUGAGUGGCGAACGGGUGAGUAAUACGUGAGUAACCUGCCCUUGACUCUGGGAUAAGCCUGGGAAACUGGGUCUAAUACUGGAUACGACAUGUCACCGCAUGGUGGUGUGUGGAAAGGGGUUUACUGGUUUUGGAUGGGCUCACGGCCUAUCAGCUUGUUGGUGGGGUAAUGGCUCACCAAGGCGACGACGGGUAGCCGGCCUGAGAGGGUGACCGGCCACACUGGGCCUGAGACACGGCCCAGACUCCUACGGGAGGCAGCAGUGGGGAAUAUUGCGCAAUGGGCGGAAGCCUGAUGCAGCGACGCCCCGUGAGGGAUGACGGCCUUCGGGUUGUAAACCUCUUUCAGAACGGAAGAAGCGAAAGUGACGGUACGUGCAGAAGAAGCGACGGCUAACUACGUG
This 472-nucleotide ribosomal RNA is filed under the name uncultured bacterium. RNAcentral's name for it is "partial 16S ribosomal RNA". It matches the Rfam family "Bacterial small subunit ribosomal RNA", at positions 28 to 507 of the family's 1533-position model. The record is from RNAcentral.